UACAGAGGUGGCAAGCGUUGUUCGGAAUUACUGGGCGUAAAGGGCGCGUAGGCGGUCUUGUCAGUCCCUUGUGAAAUCCCCCGGCUCAACUGGGGAACUGCACGGGAAACAGCAGGGCUUGAGUUCGGGAGAGGGAAGCGGAAUUCCGGGUGUAGCGGUGAAAUGCGUAGAUAUCUGGAGGAAUACCGGUGGCGAAGGCGGCAUCCUGGACCACGACUGACACUGAAACGCGAAAGCCAGGGGAGCAAACGGG
Molecule: ribosomal RNA, 253 nt
Filed under: uncultured bacterium
Lineage: Bacteria
Description: partial 16S ribosomal RNA
Rfam family: Bacterial small subunit ribosomal RNA
Source: RNAcentral